Molecule: non-coding RNA, 919 nt
Organism: Drosophila virilis
Lineage: Eukaryota; Metazoa; Arthropoda; Insecta; Diptera; Drosophilidae
Source: RefSeq, a predicted model, not a curated record
UUAUCAGAAGGGAACAAUUUUUGGGGAGAGAAAGUGAAUUUUUAAAGGGCUUUGAAUAGAGUUUUUUUCAAGAACUACAGGAAUCUAUUUUGCUACUUCAUUUUCCCAAAUUAUUGAUAAAUUAAUAUAUUUUUUCCGUACUUGAUGUUAAGCCAGUUAAAUGAGCAUAAUUUGAUCUUAUUACAAAUAUUGUAAAUUAGCGGGUUAUACGUGAUAUUUCGAUGAUUAUAAUUAAAUACAUUAUUUGACUGUAAUUCGUAUUGUGAGUGUGUGUGCUUGUGUGUGUGUGUGCUUUCUGGAUGAAUAUGCAAAUAUUUGGACGCCUUUUGGACGUAAGUGGCCCCGAUAAUAAAGUGGCACAUGUUGGCAGCCUCGGUCGAACCAAUAAAAUGGCGGAAGGCGAUCAUAAAACGUAAUCACCCGCAAUAUAAACACAGGCGUAAAAUUGUUGAGUUAAUUAAAUGUCCAAAAUGAAAAUCAAGCGAAUACUUGCGAAACUCUCGGGGUCUCCCAGGCGGAGUCUCCGGUUACACAUCACACAGAUCUUGGGCAAAUAUCAGCUGUGCCUAAUUGGAAGCCCGUUCACCGAUCGACCCAACCACCAAACCACCAAUCCACCUGGUCUCUGUGUGCACCGUCGCCGUCGUGGCGAUAGCGAUAGUUCAUUUCUUAAUUGUUCAGCCGUUGCCGCCGCUACCGCCACCGCCACUGCCGGCACAGACAAACAAUAAUUGCGUUCGUGCUGAAGAUAAAAAUGUAUCCGGUAGAUAAAUGCCAGGCCAGGCAAAUUGUUUGCUCUUUUAACAAAAAUGCGGCCAGCACCAGCAUUUGUGGUGGGGCAUCCAAAAAAGAAUUUCACAAACAAAUAACAAAAUUUAUUAACUCUUGAGUUCAAAAGAAUUGCUGCGCAUUUCCUCAA